ACAUUAAAAACAGGGUGCCGAAUUUAGAAUGCCCAGUGGAACCACAUGCUGAAAAAGAAAGAAACGGAGCUUGCUAAUGCAGGAGGAACACAUGGGCAUUGCCAGUGCCCUUAAGCAAAGUGGUGCCUGUCUCCUCCAGGGCCACUCAACACAUCCAAUACUGUGACACAGGUAGGCUAGCCUCCUUCUCCUCUUUCCACCCUGUCUUUAGGAUCAUCUCCAGACAUCGAAGGGCAUCAUUAUCACGGAUAAGAACACAGAUGCUGGGGCUGGAGAGAUGGCGCAGAGGUUAAGAGCUGGCACUAAUCUUUCAGAGGACUGGAGUUUGGUUCCCAUCCCCAUGUUGGGCAGAUCAUGACGACCUGUGACUACAGCUUCAGAGGGCCUAGAACCUUCUUCUGGAGACCCUGCAUGCUCUGCCUUCAUGUGCUCCUUCCCCUAAGACACAGACGCCUUCCUAACCGUCUCUGGUGACAACAGGACAGGAACAUCACAGCUGUUUAUGUGCUAUGAUUUCCUAUGUGUGCACACAGGAAUAAGACUCUCUUGCCUUGCCCACAAACCACUCUUCACUCUUGGGAUGACCUUGCUCCAGCUGGGAUCAGAAGUUCUAGAGCAUUCUGGGUAUGAAAUCAAGGCCUGUGGGGAAAAUUUUAGCACCCAGUGUCUGCCCCGGUGUGCUUAGUGUCACCCCCAUAAGCGUUGACUUCACUAUCCCCCGUGUCCUGACUCCUAUAAAGAUGUUGAGUAAGCUCUGAGGUUUCCUGCCAGCUGAAA
This 777-nucleotide long non-coding RNA is filed under the name Mus musculus (house mouse). Its description in RNAcentral is "RIKEN cDNA 1810053B23 gene". The record is from RNAcentral. Lineage: Eukaryota; Metazoa; Chordata; Mammalia; Rodentia; Muridae.